GCGGGCUUAGUUCAAUGGGUAGAACAGCGGUCUCCAAAACCGCGGAUCAGGGUUCGAGUCCCUGGGACCGUGCCA
This 75-nucleotide transfer RNA is filed under the name Caudoviricetes sp. Its description in RNAcentral is "tRNA-Trp". It matches the Rfam family "tRNA". From Rfam's summary of the family: Transfer RNA (tRNA) molecules are approximately 80 nucleotides in length. Their secondary structure includes four short double-helical elements and three loops (D, anti-codon, and T loops). The record is from RNAcentral. Lineage: Duplodnaviria; Heunggongvirae; Uroviricota; Caudoviricetes.